Molecule: non-coding RNA, 24 nt
Filed under: Arabidopsis thaliana (thale cress)
Lineage: Eukaryota; Viridiplantae; Streptophyta; Magnoliopsida; Brassicales; Brassicaceae
Source: RNAcentral
CAGGGAAAUCUGGGUAUUUAUCCA